CGAAAAUAAAAAUUAAAUAAAUUAAAUAAAACGUUAAGGAAAGUAAAAACUAUUUUUUGGUAUUUUUAUGAAUAAAUAAACUAUUUUUAUUAAUUAAAAACAAAACAGAAUAAAAAAAAGAAUAAAAGAAUGGAAAUGGAAAAUAAAAUGUGAAUAGCAGUGGGCUUUGUGAAUGGGAGGGGUGGAUAGCAGCGUGUGCCUAGGCCUGGUCCAGCGGAGCAUUC
RNAcentral lists this long non-coding RNA (224 nucleotides) under Lathyrus oleraceus (garden pea). RNAcentral describes it as "Pisum sativum (pea) long non-coding RNA (PSAT_LNC004215)". The record is from RNAcentral. Lineage: Eukaryota; Viridiplantae; Streptophyta; Magnoliopsida; Fabales; Fabaceae.